GACUCUUCAUUCCAUCCCCACUAUCCAGUCGCUUUCUUGAAGAAACCUUUGCUUAAGAACUCCUAAAUACCCAGCUCUAAUUCCAGGCACCCUCACAUGCCAGGGAGACCGCGCCUUCCAGCCUCCGGCUCAGUGAGGCGCCGGUCCGCGGCCAGAACCCUCCAGGGCUGUGCUGCAGACAGCGAGGGCCAGAGGCGGAUGCAGUCGGGUUUAGGGACCGCAGGAGCGAAUUCCCCGAGGCCCGCAGGAGCCGCCCCGCACCGCGUCCAGCCUUUCUCUCUGGGCCUAGCGGGAAAUCUCCCAGGCGCGCCCCUCCCUGCCCACAGGCGCACUUUCUCCACCUGCAUCUGGGGCGGGGUGCGGCUGGGAGCGAAGCACAAGCUGCUGGGCGAGGUUGGGGUUCGAGUGUUGCAGAGUGACCGCGGGGUCUGGGGAAGUUGUCUUGGUGGCGCCACCAGAGCCCGAGCCGCCGCGGCCAGGACCCUGCAGGGCAGGUAGCGACCCGCGGAGACGCCGCCUGGCACGGCCGACUCGGCUGCCGGGCCGUGGGCCUGGGCCGGGCGCAGGAGCCGCGGGGAUGCUGGGUGCGCUCCGAGGGUGCGGCUGUGCGGGGCUCAGAGCCGGGUGCGGGGCCCGGUGCCUGGCAAAGGUAAGGCAGGAGUGGGCGUCUUUCUCGCAGGACGCUGGGUCGGAGGGAGCUUGAACUUGAGGUUGCUGGGAAUCCAGAAAGGACGCCGGUGCCACCAGGAGCGCCUGCCUUGGGGCGUGGAGCCGCUCCUCCCUCAAUGGGCGGACCCUGCUGGCAGCCAGAAAUCGUUCCACACAGCCCAGAAUCCCAGGAAAACCUACCUUUCUUGAGACUACAUGCUCCUGUGAUAGCUCAACAGACUCAGUUCUUCACUAAUAUUGCUCUCUACGGUUUUCCCCCAAAACACUCCAGGAAAUAUCAUGUCCUGUCUUCACAAAUGCUUCUGAUGAGAUAACUGAGGCUCAGUGUUUUCUACAAAGGAAUAAAAUUAAGCAAGAUAAAUUUGAACCCAGGUCUUUUUGUUCUUGGGAUCUGAAUUCUCAUGCUAUGCUGUGCUCAUAGGGGUACCCAUCACAAGGCAGUUAAUCUCAAAUGCCCAACAGCAGGAAGGCUCGUUUCUCCUGGAAUCAGGAAGAUUGCCAAUAGCUCCCAGCAAACAUCUGCUGACUUGGUCACUUCUGGGAGAAAGUUGCUGUCCCCAGGUAGGUUCAGCACAAGUCCUGGGUUGCUCAUCACAGGCUGUUUGGCAUAACUGGGAUCACGUGCCCAUCCGGAGCCAAUCACUGUAGCCAGCCCUGAACCAGAAGUAGGUAUCACCCCCCAGUUGAAGGACUUGGGCAAAGAGUAGGGGAGGGGUUCUAGGUGGGCUGUGGCUACUGAUGGGGACAGGAGCUGGAGUGGGUGCUACUCCAGUUACCAUAGUCUCACGGGUCCUGGAAUGGCGCUGCAGGAGUCCAAGUGGGAUUCUCUAUCUCUGCAAACUCAGGAGUCACAGUUUGGGUUCAUAGU
Molecule: RNA transcript, 1537 nt
Organism: Cebus imitator (Panamanian white-faced capuchin)
Lineage: Eukaryota; Metazoa; Chordata; Mammalia; Primates; Cebidae
Exons: 4
Source: RefSeq, a predicted model, not a curated record